RNAcentral lists this ribosomal RNA (482 nucleotides) under uncultured bacterium. RNAcentral describes it as "partial 16S ribosomal RNA". It matches the Rfam family "Bacterial small subunit ribosomal RNA", at positions 30 to 507 of the family's 1533-position model. The record is from RNAcentral.
AUUGAACGCUGGCGGCAUGCUUUACACAUGCAAGUCGAACGGUAACAGGCCGCAAGGUGCUGACGAGUGGCGAACGGGUGAGUAAUGCAUCGGAACGUGCCCAGUCGUGGGGGAUAACUACUCGAAAGAGUAGCUAAUACCGCAUACGAUCUAUGGAUGAAAGCGGGGGACCGUAAGGCCUCGCGCGAUUGGAGCGGCCGAUGUCAGAUUAGGUAGUUGGUGGGGUAAAGGCUCACCAAGCCAACGAUCUGUAGCUGGUCUGAGAGGACGACCAGCCACACUGGGACUGAGACACGGCCCAGACUCCUACGGGAGGCAGCAGUGGGGAAUUUUGGACAAUGGGCGCAAGCCUGAUCCAGCAAUGCCGCGUGCAGGAAGAAGGCCUUCGGGUUGUAAACUGCUUUUGUACGGAACGAAACGGCUCUGGUUAACACCCGGGGCUAAUGACGGUACCGUAAGAAUAAGCACCGGCUAACUACGUA